Molecule: ribosomal RNA, 496 nt
Filed under: uncultured bacterium
Lineage: Bacteria
Description: bacterial SSU rRNA
Rfam family: Bacterial small subunit ribosomal RNA
Source: RNAcentral
AUGAAGGUCUUCGGAUUGUAAACUCCUGUUGCUCGGGACGAAAAGCUCCGACCUAAUACGUCGGAGUCUGACGGUACCGGGUGAGGAAGCCCCGGCUAACUCUGUGCCAGCAGCCGCGGUAAUACAGAGGGGGCAAGCGUUGUUCGGAAUUACUGGGCGUAAAGGGCGCGUAGGCGGCCUGUUAAGUCGAACGUGAAAUCCCCGGGCUCAACCCGGGAACUGCGUCCGAUACUGGCAGGCUUGAAUCCGGGAGAGGGAUGUGGAAUUCCAGGUGUAGCGGUGAAAUGCGUAGAUAUCUGGAGGAACACCGGUGGCGAAGGCGGCAUCCUGGACCGGUAUUGACGCUGAGGCGCGAAAGCCAGGGGAGCAAACGGGAUUAGAUACCCCGGUAGUCCUGGCCCUAAACGAUGAAUGCUUGGUGUGGCGGGUAUCGAUCCCUGCCGUGCCGAAGCUAACGCAUUAAGCAUUCCGCCUGGGGAGUACGGUCGCAAGGCUG